Molecule: long non-coding RNA, 705 nt
Filed under: Rattus norvegicus (Norway rat)
Lineage: Eukaryota; Metazoa; Chordata; Mammalia; Rodentia; Muridae
Description: long non-coding RNA NONRATT021483
Source: RNAcentral
GGCUGCAAGAUGGCGGCCUCCAUCUUCAUGGGCGCCGUGAGAGCUGCCUCAGGUCAGUGUUCUAUUGACCGGUUCACUGAGAAGAGAACCGGCUCGGGAGGGAGGAGGCGUUUAGUUUGAAUGUUAACGGGGAAAGAAAAAACAAGACGACUUGAGGUCGGAGGUUUGCUGUGCGAUACCUUGCACAAUGUAGUGUCCGUGACCUGCGUUCACUGGAUCCACUCUGCCGUAGGAUACCCGAAACUGAGGAAUAUUACGUCCCCUCAAUGUCUCGGUUUCGUCAACCUAUCGGAACUGUGCCAGGAAUGCCUGUCUUAGUUCUGCGCUGCGCACCAUUCCUUUUAGACAUAUUCAGACAUCAGUUGUUUCCUCUGCUCCAAGGCUUGUCAAGUCUGUCGGACACCUGGCAUAUGGGCACACGGCAUCAGUCCUUAAUAGAGUGGCCACAUUGGUUCCCAGUGUCUUGAAGCCUCCGGUCAGAGCUCUGACGUACUGCAGUGCACGGAAAGGAAAGAGAAAGACAGUGAAGUCGGUUGUGCAUCGCUUCCUCCGACUUCACUCUGGCCUUUGGCUAAGGAGAAAGGCUGGCUAUAAGAAAAAAUUAUGGAAAAAGUCAACUGCAAGAAAGAAGCGCUUGAGGGAAUUCGUGUUCUGCAAUAAGACCCAGAGUAAACUCCUAGAUAAAAUGACGACAUCUUUCUGGAA